Molecule: small RNA, 121 nt
Filed under: Arabidopsis thaliana (thale cress)
Lineage: Eukaryota; Viridiplantae; Streptophyta; Magnoliopsida; Brassicales; Brassicaceae
Description: ATSL093640
Source: RNAcentral
UAAUUAAUCCAACCAAUUAAACCGGAUAAUUUAAAAACAAACCCUAACCGAUUUUCCGGUUCACGGGCGUUACAAUACCGCGGGUCAUAUCCUAGUUUUAUAUUAACAUAUCAACCGACCU